GAUGAACGCUGGCGGCGUGCCUAAUACAUGCAAGUCGAGCGAACAGACGAGGAUCUUGCUCCUCUGACGUUAGCGGCGGACGUGUGAGUAACACGUGGAUAACCUACCUAUAAGACUGGUAUAACUUCGGGAAACCGGAGCUAAUACCGGAUAAUAUAUUGAACCGCAUGGUUCAAUAGUGAAAUACGGUUUUUCUGUCACUUAUAGAUGGAUCCGCGCCGCAUUAGCUAGUUGGUAAGGUAACGGCUUACCAAGGCAACGAUGCGUAGCCGACCUGAGAGGGUGAUCGGCCACACUGGAAGUGAGACACGGUCCAGACUCCUACGGGAGGCAGCAGUAGGGAAUAUUCCGCAAUGGGCGAAAGCAUGACGGAGCAACGCCGCGUGAGUGAUGAAGGUCUGAGGAUCGUAAAACUCUGUUAUUAGGGAAGAACAAAUGUGUAAGUAAAUAUGCACGUAGUGACGGUAACUAAACAGAAAGCAACGGCUAACUACGUG
This 497-nucleotide ribosomal RNA is filed under the name uncultured bacterium. RNAcentral's name for it is "partial 16S ribosomal RNA". It matches the Rfam family "Bacterial small subunit ribosomal RNA", at positions 28 to 507 of the family's 1533-position model. The record is from RNAcentral.